UAAAAAAAUGAAUAUGAUCCAAAGGCUCCAAUGAAAGGCUAAGAAUGAAAGACCAACGGGGAAAGCAUGUACAGAAUCACCGUGGCCUUUGCUCCUUCACAUCGCAGAUGGACAGGAGAAUGUGCUCAGCGAGGGGCCACAUUCCAAAGUUCCCUGUGAUAUUUAGUGGUUCGAGGAGCCCCACCUGUUCAGUCCCCAGUCCCUGCAGAAAGAGAAAAGAGGGACCUGCUGCGACUCUGUGGGGUCACUUCCUAGAAGUCACUGCACAGUGCUCCCACAGCUGAGCCCAGUUACAAAUCGAGACUUUUUUUCAGGAGGAAAGGAACAACGCAUCCAGCUUCCACCACAGCCUGUGUGUGGAAUGUGACCACCGUGAUGAGGACCAGUGCCAUAUCAGUGCAGGGCAGUUAUUGGUCCAUCAGUGGUUUGUUUAAACCAGAAAUCAUCAAGACAGCAUACUGGAAGCACAGAACCACACCCUGCUCUCAAGAAUCUCGUUGUUAAGCAAAGGAUGUUACGAUCAAGUGACCGCAUUGUGAAGCUGUGCCUGGUUCAGAGCAAGAACCCAAGCAGUCUUUUCAACUAUGCUUGUGGUUAGAUGUAGACGAUGGGGUCGGGAGGACUGGAGCAACUGAAUUCCUGAUGUAGCACUCCCUGGUUGUGUAACCUCGGGCAAGUCACCACAUCUGUCUGUGUGAUAGCCCCAUUUCCAUGCCUGAGACAGCUGCGUUCACCUCCCAUUUUAUGUAUUCUAAGAAAGAACAUUGUGUAUCGAGAUUCCCGUCUACACUUGACAUUUCAGUCACAACCCUUGCAGACUACAGCAGGGCAAGAAGUGAUUGCCCAGAGUCCGAUGUCUAAAUGUCACUAUCUGAGUUUCUCAGGCCUCCCCAGUUAACCAAUAAUUCCGAGAACACAUCUUGUCAAGGAGCAAAGGUUCCAAAUAUGCCAGAAGCAUCUUCCUAGGACAAAGAACAAACAGUCCGGAAGAUGCAUAAACUUCCUUUGCACAAAUUUGCUCAUCUUCCAAGUAAAUAGAAGGCAGCUAACACUGUGACCACUGAGUUUAGAUGCGCAAAUAGCUUCUUCAUAAAAAGCCAGAUCUCUUAAACAUGAAAUAGAAAAUCUGCUAAGAAGGUAAAUUAGGUUUCUCGUCUCAUCCACCACUAACUGGCAAUUAGUUAAGUGUGAGCAGGAUUUGAUUGAAUAGUUUACGGUUGACUCUUUGGUCUUCUCAUGUACAAAAUCAGGGUGGCCUUCAGUCCUGAUUGAAAGAGAAAUCCACGUUUCCAGAAAAAACAUUCUCAUGUUAGAUGAGGAAAGAAAGAAGGAAGGUAGAAGAGGAAAGAGGCCGAAAGAGACAGAAUGUGAACUUUCCAUUUGUAUCAAACUUGGGCAUGUUGUGGCCUUCAGCAGAGCCCCGGGCGCUCAUGUUUAGGCUAAUGGAGAAAUUCCUUCUUGCAUCUCAGCUGGAACCUUUGGACAGGAGGACUCACUCAGUGAAGGGCACUAUGGUCUCAGGCUAACAGACCCAGACAUGCUGAUCCUCCCUUUUUACCAUAAACAGCUAAGUUAAAACUGAGAUGUAAUUAUGCGUGCAGUAAGUGGUAGCCUGCUUCAGGAGACGUGACUAGAUCAUUACAAAUCAUUUAAUCAAGGCUCUAAAAAUAUUAGUUACAAAUAUUAAAAAAAAUUAGCACCAAAGAGUUCUGAGAUUCUUUGGACAUUCCUAAGGACACCAAUACUGAAUUAAGAUUUUGCUAACCAACAGAGCACAUCCUAGUCUCUGGUCUCACAUUCCGUUCCACAUUUGUUACAUGGUCUGUCAAAAACAAGUCUCAAAAGACCAGAGCGAAUGCACCUCUCUGCACACAGCCCAAAAGGGACGGCAGGUAUAAACCAGAAAGAUUUUAAGGACUUGCUACGUCAGCAAAGAGGAAAACAUGGUGAAUUCUGCUGGUUACGAUGCUUGGCUGAGUGAUAAAGGCAAAUCCGAGGCAGAGGCUCAAACAAAGAAAAGGAACACACAGCAGAGGGGACACGCAUGUACAAAAUCAGGGUGGCCUUCAGUCCUGAUUGGAUCCACCUGGCUGCCCCCGCAACUCUCUUCCCCUGCACCCCGCAACUCUCUUCCCUUGCACCCCGCAAAUCUCUUCCCCUGCACCAGCCUAGUUCGCUGAGCCCUUCCCUGUGGGGAAGCUCCAGACCUCAGGUUCCCAUGCCACACUAGCUGAAGAAAAGGGAACUUCUCUCAACUGUUGCCCCAAAGUAGAGCAGAUGAGGUUUCCCAGAAUCUCCCAGCACCUCCUCCUCUUAUCCACUUAAGGGGACUGGGGGCCGGGGAAGUAGUUGCUGGGCCCACCUUCAACUCAGCCACCAGGAACAAAGAGCAAAGGCUUUGCCGCCAUCAGCCAAGAGGAGGCUUAUUUAGACCUGGCGAUGAAGUCAGUUCCACCCUCCUCACCUUCAGAAUACUUAAGAUUCUUGAAGUGCCAUAGAAUCAAGUAACUCAGGGCUGAUAGAAAGGGGGAAUGUGGGUGACAGGGAAUCAAGAAGGAAUUCCAAGGAGGCAAACAACAGGCCUUCACUACAGUUUGAGAUUGUGUGUGAAAAAACUGCGCAGACAGGGUUCUGACUAGUGUGAACUGUGUGGAAAACCUGCAAAUAAUCCUUGGCUGGAAGAUGUGAAAGCUACAAAACUUCUGUAAGAUCUAGGGCAGAGCGCAAGGUCCCUGGGAUUUCCCAUCCGCUGUUGCUGCUCAUGCCUGUGGAUGAGAUUCUUCUCUUUGUCUACGACUCUUUCUUCUAUUUUAAGUCUAUACUGCAUAGCAAGCCUUUGUGCAGCUCCUAAGCAGGCAAGGGUGCCUCUCCUAAAAGUAACUAGUCCCACUCUCUGGGACUCAGUUCCAGAGUUCUAGGAAAGAGACUCUGAGCUGGGACCAUGUGAUUCUCCUUGGGUAGGAGCUGGAGUUACAUUUUAAAGAAUUAUUCCCAAGGGUCUACUUCUGUAACUUUAUGGACAGUGAGAUCAUUCAGCAGUUCCCAGAAAAAGGAUGGUAGAACAAGCCUUUGCAGUGAGAGGCCCGUGUUCACACACUGAUAUGUUUUGCCUGAUACUGGGCUCGUGGAACAUUUGGAGUAUAAACUUUGUUCUCGAUUCAAAUGAAAUCAAAAGAAAAAGAAAAAGGAGGAGGAGGAGGAGCAGCAUCAAGUCACAGACUUGGAAUAAAGGAGCAAGAGAAAGCUCCUAUUUUUCCUCAGUUUUUGGCUUCCUGGUUUCUGACGUCUUCUGUGUUCCAGCAACACUCUGUACCUGUGCCUGUGAGCACAGUGUGUCUAUCUCAAGAUCACAGCUACUUCCAUGAGCAUUCCCUGAAGUGACAGCAUUCUCUUAAACGGGAAAGGUGCUUUGUUAUUCAUGCACCCAACAACUGUGCUACUACUUACCUUGGAGUUAAGACUUAGUCAGAUUAUCGUAUUUACUCAAUGAGUAUAUUGAUAACUUAGGUCUCAGAUUCUCUUAUUCCUUCAUCCACUGGACAUUUCAAUAAAGGUUUUAUUUGAAGACUCUUUGAACAGUUACAGAAAACAUCAAAUAUCAGAGAUGUUUCUCUCCUUAUGUUUUGUGUUUACAUAAAAAUAUGUUCAAAAUGUACCCAAAUGGGUGGGGGCAGGGAGAGUGGGAUCCCUUAAGAAGUGUUCCCCCACCCUACAUGGUGGUGGUGGUGAUGGUGGUGCAUGACUUAACUUUAAUCCCAGCACUCUGGAGGCAGAGGAAAGCGGAUCUCUGAGUUCAAGCUCAGCCUGGUCUAUAGACACAGUUCCAGGACAGACAGGGUUACACAGAGAAACUUGUCCUAAAAAAAAAAGUUUUAUCUUAUUCCUAUUCAUAGUAUUUAAUUGACUGCUGUCAAUUUGUAGCUUUCUCUUGUGUGUACACAAUAAAAAUGUCAACAUUG
Long non-coding RNA from Peromyscus californicus insignis, 3959 nucleotides. RefSeq lists it as uncharacterized. The transcript has 2 exons. Lineage: Eukaryota; Metazoa; Chordata; Mammalia; Rodentia; Cricetidae. The record is from RefSeq and is a predicted model, not a curated record.